GAAACCGCGAAUGGCUCAUUAAAUCAGUUAUGGUUCCUUAGAUCGUUCAUACUACAUGGAUAACUGUGGUAAUUCUAGAGCUAAUACAUGCAAAAAGCUCCGACCGUAUGGGAAGAGCGCUUUUAUUAGACCAAAACCAAUGGGGUCGCAAGAUCCCUUUGUAUGGUGACUCUGGAUAACUUUGUGCUGAUCGCAUGGCCUCGAGCCGGCGACGUAUCUUUCAAGUGUCUGCCCUAUCAACUUUCGAUGGUAAGCGAUUUGCCUACCAUGGUUGUAACGGGUAACGGGGAAUCAGGGUUCGAUUCCGGAGAGGGAGCAUGAGAAAUGGCUACCACAUCUACGGAAGGCAGCAGGCGCGCAAAUUACCCACUCCUAGAACGGGGAGGUAGUGACGAAAAAUAACAAUACCGGACUCAAUGAGGCUCGGUAAUUGAAAUGAGUACAGUUUAAAACCCUUAACGAGGAUCUAUUGGAGGGCAAGUCUGGU
RNAcentral lists this ribosomal RNA (487 nucleotides) under uncultured eukaryote. RNAcentral's name for it is "SSU rRNA". It matches the Rfam family "Eukaryotic small subunit ribosomal RNA", at positions 83 to 565 of the family's 1831-position model. The record is from RNAcentral.